RNAcentral lists this long non-coding RNA (764 nucleotides) under Homo sapiens (human). RNAcentral's name for it is "novel transcript (ENSG00000290515.1)". Lineage: Eukaryota; Metazoa; Chordata; Mammalia; Primates; Hominidae. The record is from RNAcentral.
CUACGUAACACGACAGCCUGCUUCAGCUUUGCUUCCUUCCAAACCUGCCACAGUUCCACAUACAGUCUUCAAGCCACAUAUGCUCUAGUGACAAAAGCUACACAGUCCCCCAGCAAUACCAACAGUGCUGAUCCGCAGUGGCCGGGUGCCCAUUGUGUCCUUGGAGUGUGUGUCCUGCAAGGCACAGGCCGUGUACGAAGUGAGCCGCAGCUCCUACGUGUACCUGGAGGGCCGCUGCCUCAAUUGCAGCAGCGGCUCCAAGCGAGGGCGGUGGGCUGCACGUACGUUCAGCAACAAGACACUGGUGCUGGAUGAGACCACCACAUCCACGGGCAGCGCAGGCAUGUGACUGGUGCUGCGGCGGGGCGUGCUGCGGGACGGCGAGGGAUACACCUUCACGCUGACGGUGCUGGGCCGCUCUGGCGAGGAGGAGGGCUGCGCCUCCAUCCCCCUGUCCCCCAACCGCCCGCCGCUGGGGGGCUCUUGCCGCCUCUUCCCACUGGGCGCUGUGCACGCCCUCACCACCAAGGUGCACUUCGAAUGCACGGGCUGGCAUGACGCGGAGGAUGCUGGCGCCCCGCUGGUGUACGCCCUGCUGCUGCAGCGCUGUCGCCAGGGCCACUGCGAGGAGUUCUGUGUCUACAAGGGCAGCCUCUCCGGCUACGGAGCCGUGCUGCCCCCGGGUUUCAGGCCACACUUCGAGGUGGGCCUGGCCGUGGUGGUGCAGGACCAGCUGGGAGCCGCUGUGGUCGCCCUCAACAGGU